GACGAACGCUGGCGGCGUGCCUAAUACAUGCAAGUAGAACGCUGAAGGAGGAGCUUGCUCUUCUGGAUGAGUUGCGAACGGGUGAGUAACGCGUAGGUAACCUGCCUUGUAGCGGGGGAUAACUAUUGGAAACGAUAGCUAAUACCGCAUAAGAGUAGAUGUUGCAUGACAUUUACUUAAAAGGUGCAAUUGCAUCACUACCAGAUGGACCUGCGUUGUAUUAGCUAGUUGGUGGGGUAACGGCUUACCAAGGCGACGAUACAUAGCCGACCUGAGAGGGUGAUCGGCCACACUGGGACUGAGACACGGCCCAGACUCCUACGGGAGGCAGCAGUAGGGAAUCUUCGGCAAUGGACGGAAGUCUGACCGAGCAACGCCGCGUGAGUGAAGAAGGUUUUCGGAUCGUAAAGCUCUGUUGUAAGAGAAGAACGAGUGUGAGAGUGGAAAGUUCACACUGUGACGGUAUCUUACCAGAAAGGGACGGCUAACUACGU
RNAcentral lists this ribosomal RNA (494 nucleotides) under uncultured bacterium. Its description in RNAcentral is "partial 16S ribosomal RNA". It matches the Rfam family "Bacterial small subunit ribosomal RNA", at positions 28 to 506 of the family's 1533-position model. The record is from RNAcentral.